UACAGAGGGGGCAAGCGUUGUUCGGAAUUACUGGGCGUAAAGGGCGCGUAGGCGGCCAACUAAGUCAGACGUGAAAUCCCUCGGCUUAACCGGGGAACUGCGUCUGAUACUGGAUGGCUUGAAUCCGGGAGAGGGAUGCGGAAUUCCAGGUGUAGCGGUGAAAUGCGUAGAUAUCUGGAGGAACACCGGUGGCGAAGGCGGCAUCCUGGACCGGCAUUGACGCUGAGGAGCGAAAGCCAGGGGAGCAAACGGG
Molecule: ribosomal RNA, 253 nt
Filed under: uncultured bacterium
Lineage: Bacteria
Description: partial 16S ribosomal RNA
Rfam family: Bacterial small subunit ribosomal RNA
Source: RNAcentral